Dermacentor silvarum is the source of this 734-nucleotide long non-coding RNA. RefSeq lists it as uncharacterized. The record is from RefSeq and is a predicted model, not a curated record. NCBI's taxonomy places the organism in Eukaryota, Metazoa, Arthropoda, Arachnida, Ixodida, Ixodidae. The transcript is spliced from 3 exons.
UGGAGAGAUGGACAGGUGGCGUUCGUCACAGGCGGCACGUGGCGCUCUGAUGACAAAGCCAGUCCUCUUCUAUCUUCGUGCAAGGCACACACGCCUAAAGUAUUGUCAGUAGAUAAAGCGCUGCCGCUGGUUAGCGGUAUACUGCGCCGGAUCCGUAGGAACCUGCGUAGGUAACAGGAAACGAUCAGCGGAAGGUUGCGUUGCCGCCACCUCAGCUGCCAAGUGAAGAAUUCCGCGGUGAUCCCAGCUUAUAUAGCUUCCAGUUGCUGAUGGUUCCUGGAGAGAUGGACAGGUGGCGUUCGUCACAGGCGGCACGUGGCGCUCUGAUGACAAAGCCAGUCCUCUUCUAUCUUCGUGCAAGGCACACACGCCUAAAGUAUUGUCAGUAGAUAAAGCGCUGCCGCUGGUUAGCGGUAUACUGCGCCGGAUCCGUAGGAACCUGCGUAGGUAACAGGAAACGAUCAGCGGAAGGUUGCGUUGCCGCCACCUCAGCUGCCAAGUGAAGAAUUCCGCGGUGAUCCCAGCUUAUAUAGCUUCCAGUUGCUGAUGGUUCCUGGAGAGAUGGACAGGUGGCGUUCGUCACAGGCGGCACGUGGCGCUCUGAUGACAAAGCCAGUCCUCUUCUAUCUUCGUGCAAGGCACACACGCCUAAAGUAUUGUCAGUAGAUAAAUCGCUGCCGCUGGUUAGCGGUAUACUGCGCCGGAUCCGUAGGAACCUGCGUAGGUAACGAUCA